This 253-nucleotide ribosomal RNA is filed under the name uncultured bacterium. RNAcentral describes it as "partial 16S ribosomal RNA". It matches the Rfam family "Bacterial small subunit ribosomal RNA", at positions 524 to 776 of the family's 1533-position model. The record is from RNAcentral.
UACGUAGGGGGCUAGCGUUGUCCGGAAUCAUUGGGCGUAAAGAGCGUGUAGGCGGCCCUGUAAGUCCGCUGUGAAAGUCGGGGGCUCAACCCUCGAAUGCCGGUGGAUACUGUCGGGCUAGAGUGCGGAAGAGGCGAGUGGAAUUCCUGGUGUAGCGGUGAAAUGCGCAGAUAUCAGGAGGAACACCGGUGGCGAAGGCGGCGUCCUGGACCGAAACUGACGCUGAGGAGCGAAAGCCAGGGGAGCAAACGGG